AACGCGUGGGAAUCUGCCUAGUAGUGGGGGACAACAGUCGGAAACGACUGCUAAUACCGCAUACGCCCUACGGGGGAAAGCGGGGGAUCUUCGGACCUCGCGCUAUUAGAUGAGCCCGCGUUGGAUUAGCUUGUUGGUGGGGUAAUGGCCUACCAAGGCGACGAUCCAUAGCUGGUCUGAGAGGAUGAUCAGCCACACUGGGACUGAGACACGGCCCAGACUCCUACGGGAGGCAGCAGUGGGGAAUAUUGGACAAUGGGCGAAAGCCUGAUCCAGCCAUGCCGCGUGUGUGAAGAAGGCCUUAGGGUUGUA
This 312-nucleotide ribosomal RNA is filed under the name Marinobacterium sp. SP47. RNAcentral's name for it is "bacterial SSU rRNA". It matches the Rfam family "Bacterial small subunit ribosomal RNA", at positions 112 to 427 of the family's 1533-position model. Lineage: Bacteria; Pseudomonadati; Pseudomonadota; Gammaproteobacteria; Oceanospirillales; Oceanospirillaceae. The record is from RNAcentral.